RNAcentral lists this long non-coding RNA (1103 nucleotides) under Junco hyemalis (dark-eyed junco). RNAcentral's name for it is "lncRNA (ENSJHYG00000000298.1)". The record is from RNAcentral. Lineage: Eukaryota; Metazoa; Chordata; Aves; Passeriformes; Passerellidae.
AAAUGGUGAAUAAAUGCCAUGUUUUGGCCGUGCAGGGGCUGUGGCACGGGUGCCCAGCUGUGCCAGCAGGCCGUGCUUCCCGGGAGCGCCCUGCUUUGACCGCAAGCCGCCCGACCUCGGGUACCUCUGUGGCCGCUGCCCUCAGGGCUUUGUUGGGAAUGGUCGGAGCUGUACCAAAGUCCCCAGAGCAGUUUCAAGAUCUUUCCAAACCCACUUGGACUCUCCUGGAAGAAAUAUUGAAGAUGCUGGAGGCUCUCACCAAGAAGAUGUAUCUAAGACAUCAAGAAAUGUAUUUUCCCUUCUUUCCCAACCUCAAAUGCCAAGACAAGAUAUUACAUUCCUUUUGGAAAGAAACCCCUCAGCCAUUCACACUCCAUCCCUUAGGAUGGAAAAGGAGAUUUCCCAAGCUCAGACAUCACCAGAAAAACAGCCUGACAUGGAGUUCACAGCACCUGAGAAACAACCUUUCCUUGAGAAAAGAAGUGAUCUCAUACCCUUUCUGCAUGAGGAGCCAGAGCCCAGAGCCCCAGAUGUUGGUGUGACCUCCCACCCCCCUGUCCAUUUUCAGCAGCACAAAGAAAAGACAGCACGGACCAUUCCUCCUCAUCCCAACACCAAUCCAGGCUCAUUCCCUGCAAGCUCACAGACCCAUUCCAGGCAUGGUUAUCCUCCCAGGAAAUGGCCCAGUGGAGUCUCAGUCCUGAGGAACAGAGCACCCCAGGGUUUCCCAACAGAGCAGCCCAGAGCAUCUCCCGUGGCCGCGCAUCGCCCUGUCCCUCCCCGAUGGCUGGGCCCUUCCCUGGCUGCUCCAUCCCGGGGUGCGGGCUCUGCUCCUGGAGCAAGGCUCCCAGCACACCCCUCAGCAGCCAGGAGGGGCCUCAGCAGAGCAAGGGGGGCUGUGGAGCUGCCCAAAAGCAGCAGUGGGGCAGUGUGUGCUGAGCUGCCCUGUUUCACGGGUGUGCAGUGCCAGCCAGCUGAGGAUGGAGAGCUUCAGUGUGGUCCUUGUCCCCCUGGAUACAGUGGUGAUGGAAUUACAUGUGAAGGUAAGGGAGAAAAUCCUCUUAAAAUGCUCUAAUAUCUCCAAUUCUAAUAUUUCUCCAAAG